UACAGAGGGGGCAAGCGUUGUUCGGAAUUACUGGGCGUAAAGGGCGCGUAGGCGGCCUGUUAAGUCGAACGUGAAAUCCCCGGGCUCAACCCGGGAACUGCGUCCGAUACUGGCAGGCUUGAAUUCGGGAGAGGGAUGCGGAAUUCCAGGUGUAGCGGUGAAAUGCGUAGAUAUCUGGAGGAACACCGGUGGCGAAGGCGGCAUCCUGGACCAACACUGACGCUGAGGAGCGAAAGCCAGGGGAGCAAACGGG
RNAcentral lists this ribosomal RNA (253 nucleotides) under uncultured bacterium. RNAcentral describes it as "partial 16S ribosomal RNA". It matches the Rfam family "Bacterial small subunit ribosomal RNA", at positions 524 to 776 of the family's 1533-position model. The record is from RNAcentral.